GGGGGGACCAUCCUCCAAGGCUAAAUACUCCUGACUGACCGAUAGUGAACCAGUACCGUGAGGGAAAGGCGAAAAGAACCCCGGCGAGGGGAGUGAAAAAGAACCUGAAACCGUGUACGUACAAGCAGUGGGAGCCUCUUAAUGGGGUGACUGCGUACCUUUUGUAUAAUGGGUCAGCGACUUAUAUUCUGUAGCAAGGUUAACCGAAUAGGGGAGCCGAAGGGAAACCGAGUCUUAACUGGGCGUUAAGUUGCAGGGUAUAGACCCGAAACCCGGUGAUCUAGCCAUGGGCAGGUUGAAGGUUGGGUAACACUAACUGGAGGACCGAACCGACUAAUGUUGAAAAAUUAGCGGAUGACUUGUGGCUGGGGGUGAAAGGCCAAUCAAACCGGGAGAUAGCUGGUUCUCCCCGAAAGCUAUUUAGGUAGCGCCUCGUGAAUUCAUCUCCGGGGGUAGAGCACUGUUUCGGCAAGGGGGUCAUCCCGACUUACCAACCCGAUGCAAACUGCGAAUACCGGAGAAUGUUAUCACGGGAGACACACGGCGGGUGCUAACGUCCGUCGUGAAGAGGGAAACAACCCAGACCGCCAGCUAAGGUCCCAAAGUCAUGGUUAAGUGGGAAACGAUGUGGGAAGGCCCAGACAGCCAGGAUGUUGGCUUAGAAGCAGCCAUCAUUUAAAGAAAGCGUAAUAGCUCACUGGUCGAGUCGGCCUGCGCGGAAGAUGUAACGGGGCUAAACCAUGCACCGAAGCUGCGGCAGCGACACUAUGUGUUGUUGGGUAGGGGAGCGUUCUGUAAGCCUGUGAAGGUGGCCUGUGAGGGUUGCUGGAGGUAUCAGAAGUGCGAAUGCUGACAUAAGUAACGAUAAAGCGGGUGAAAAGCCCGCUCGCCGGAAGACCAAGGGUUCCUGUCCAACGUUAAUCGGGGCAGGGUGAGUCGACCCCUAAGGCGAGGCCGAAAGGCGUAGUCGAUGGGAAACAGGUUAAUAUUCCUGUACUUGGUGUUACUGCGAAGGGGGGACGGAGAAGGCUAUGUUGGCCGGGCGACGGUUGUCCCGGUUUAAGCGUGUAGGCUGGUUUUCCAGGCAAAUCCGGAAAACCAAGGCUGAGGCGUGAUGACGAGGCACUACGGUGCUGAAGUGACAAAUGCCCUGCUUCCAGGAAAAGCCUCUAAGCAUCAGGUAACAUCAAAUCGUACCCCAAACCGACACAGGUGGUCAGGUAGAGAAUACCAAGGCGCUUGAGAGAACUCGGGUGAAGGAACUAGGCAAAAUGGUGCCGUAACUUCGGGAGAAGGCACGCUGAUAUGUAGGUGAAGCGACUUGCUCGUGGAGCUGAAAUCAGUCGAAGAUACCAGCUGGCUGCAACUGUUUAUUAAAAACACAGCACUGUGCAAACACGAAAGUGGACGUAUACGGUGUGACGCCUGCCCGGUGCCGGAAGGUUAAUUGAUGGGGUUAGCGGUAACGCGAAGCUCUUGAUCGAAGCCCCGGUAAACGGCGGCCGUAACUAUAACGGUCCUAAGGUAGCGAAAUUCCUUGUCGGGUAAGUUCCGACCUGCACGAAUGGCGUAAUGAUGGCCAGGCUGUCUCCACCCGAGACUCAGUGAAAUUGAACUCGCUGUGAAGAUGCAGUGUACCCGCGGCAAGACGGAAAGACCCCGUGAACCUUUACUAUAGCUUGACACUGAACAUUGAGCCUUGAUGUGUAGGAUAGGUGGGAGGCUUUGAAGUGUGGACGCCAGUCUGCAUGGAGCCGACCUUGAAAUACCACCCUUUAAUGUUUGAUGUUCUAACGUUGGCCCCUAAUCGGGGUUGCGGACAGUGUCUGGUGGGUAGUUUGACUGGGGCGGUCUCCUCCUAAAGAGUAACGGAGGAGCACGAAGGUUGGCUAAUCCUGGUCGGACAUCAGGAGGUUAGUGCAAUGGCAUAAGCCAGCUUGACUGCGAGCGUGACGGCGCGAGCAGGUGCGAAAGCAGGUCAUAGUGAUCCGGUGGUUCUGAAUGGAAGGGCCAUCGCUCAACGGAUAAAAGGUACUCCGGGGAUAACAGGCUGAUACCGCCCAAGAGUUCAUAUCGACGGCGGUGUUUGGCACCUCGAUGUCGGCUCAUCACAUCCUGGGGCUGAAGUAGGUCCCAAGGGUAUGGCUGUUCGCCAUUUAAAGUGGUACGCGAGCUGGGUUUAGAACGUCGUGAGACAGUUCGGUCCCUAUCUGCCGUGGGCGCUGGAGAACUGAGGGGGGCUGCUCCUAGU
RNAcentral lists this ribosomal RNA (2251 nucleotides) under Escherichia coli. Its description in RNAcentral is "partial 23S ribosomal RNA". It matches the Rfam family "Bacterial large subunit ribosomal RNA", at positions 446 to 2682 of the family's 2925-position model. The record is from RNAcentral. Lineage: Bacteria; Pseudomonadati; Pseudomonadota; Gammaproteobacteria; Enterobacterales; Enterobacteriaceae.